AUUUUAUCCACACAAGGGCUAAAUUAAUAAAAGCCUUCCAAAUCCAAACUAGAUUUGCUUUCACGCAAGAAUCACUGUUCACUAGUAACUGUAGAAGCAUAAUGAAAGACUUGGAAUUAGAUAAAUCAGCGUCCUUGAGCAGACUUAAUUGACAAAUGUACAUAAAAAAGGAAGAAAAGACCAAGGUCCAAGUUGGAACAAUUCCACCUGCACCACCGUUUACAAGAUUCCAACGUGGGCCGUUACCUAUGUUACGAUACCAACGCCAAGACACCUUCCACGACGCUUGCCAGCCGAUAGAGAUAAGCUUCUCUGUCGAUAUUUCCAUUUUCUACAGUUUACCUCUUCCCCCCCACUCCCUAAAUUUUUUAUUACCAAACAAAGCGUUAAUUAAUUUUCUAUUUUCCACUGACUUUCAAAUUUCAAAAUUCUCUCAUCCUUUUGUCCAUGCACCUUCCUUCUUAUCCUUCCACACGCCUUUCCUUCUCCCUAUAUAUAACUCCUCUCCCUCUUCCUCUCUCCGUUGUCUCUGUGGACAGCACAAACACAAUUUUCGAAAUUUUCAAAAUCCUAAACGUUCAUUUUUAUCCCUUUUUAUUUUUUGUUUGGUUUCCGUUUCAUGCAAACAUGCUUGAUCUAGAUUGGAAAGCUAAGAUGGUCUCUUCUGAUCUCCCAAACAAGUCCCCUAAACUCUCUAACAAGCUUAAUGUUAUGAUCCCUUCAACGACGCCGUUUCGUGGGGUUACCAAUAUCUCGCCGGUUUCUGCUUCCGACUCUUCUUGUACGGCUUACGAGCACUACCUUCGGUUACCUGAGUUGAGGAAAUUGUGGACUUGUAAGGAGUUUCCCGAUUGGAAAAACGAGUCCAUUUUUAAACCGGCUUUACAGGCUAUAGAGAUCACGUUUCGGCUCAUUUCUACGGUUUUAUUGGACCCGAGACCGUACGCGAACCGUAGAGAAUGGAAACGGAGGAUCGAGUCGCUUGCUACUGCGCAGAUCGAGCUUAUUGCUAUUCUGUGUGAAGACGACGAAGAUGGAGACACACGUGGCAAAGCGCCGGUUGUUGAUAUGUGCUCAUCUAAAGGCAUUUUGGGUCGGGAUGGGAGCUGCACUGAGGUAUGGAAGGUGUCACCUGAAACCACUGUGGUCAACAAGACCAGCGAGGCCAGCCUCCUCCCUCUCCUCGCCACGUGGCAGAAAUCUGAGGACAUGGCGCAGAAAAUCUUCUAUUCCAUCGAAUGCGAGAUGAGGCGGUGUCCGUACACUCUAGGUAUCGGAGAGCCGAACCUCGCCGGCAAACCUAACCUCGACUACGACGCCGUUUGCAAGCCAAGCGACGUUCACAGUCUGAAGAAGAAUCCGUACGAUCACAUAGAGAACCACGAGAACCAAACGCUGUACACCACAAACCAGAUUCUGGAGUCAUGGAUCCAAGUAGCUAAACAGCUUGUUAAACGCGUAAUUGAAAGAAUUGAAAGCAAGAAAUUCGAUAAGGCGUCAGGCGAUUGCUAUUUGCUCGAGAGAAUUUGGAAGCUUCUAUCCGAAAUAGAAGAUUUGCAUCUGUUAAUGGAUCCAGACGAUUUCUUGAAGCUCAAAAACCAGUUGCUCAUGCGAUCGCUGGACGAAUCGGAGGCGUUCUGUUUCCGAUCGAGAGCGCUGGUGGAGAUAACGAAAUCGUGCAAGGAAUUGAAGCACAAGGUUCCGGAGAUUCUAGGCGUAGAGGUGGACCCCAAGGGUGGACCCAGGAUACAGGAGGCGGCGAUGAGAUUGUACAGCGAGAAGAGGGAAUUUGAUCAGAUCAGUUUACUUCAGGGGUUGCAGGCGACGGAGGCUGCGUUGAAGAGGUUUUACUAUGGAUAUAAGCAGCUGCUGGUGGUGGUUAUCGGCAGCUUGGAGGCUAAAGGAAACCGGGUUUUGGCGAGUCCUGAAACUUGCGACUCACUGAGUCAGCUGUUCCUGGAGCCGACUUAUUUCCCGAGUUUGGAUGCAGCCAAGACGUUUUUGGGCGAGUUUUGGAGUCAUGAACAGAGUGGGUUGGAGAAACGAAAUCCAAGAAAAUAGCUGUGGGCACAGGUGGAGGAUGAGGUGGACUCGGUUGUUUUGACCGACUCAGUUGCUGUUGCUUCUUUGAAAAAAAAAUGCCCUUUGCUUGUCAGAAAUUCUAGUUUGAAAUAGACCAAUACAAUUACAUUUUUUUAAUUAAUUGUACCAAAAGUAUUGAAUAUUGUAAAAUUUUUCUAAUAUAUUUAUUUAUUUUAAUUAAUAUUUACCUAAA
Molecule: unclassified non-coding RNA, 2275 nt
Filed under: Hevea brasiliensis (rubber tree)
Lineage: Eukaryota; Viridiplantae; Streptophyta; Magnoliopsida; Malpighiales; Euphorbiaceae
Source: RNAcentral